Molecule: small nucleolar RNA, 115 nt
Filed under: Echinops telfairi (small Madagascar hedgehog)
Lineage: Eukaryota; Metazoa; Chordata; Mammalia; Afrosoricida; Tenrecidae
Description: Small nucleolar RNA SNORA61 (ENSETEG00000026698.1)
Source: RNAcentral
CGUUUCCAUACUCAUCAGACCUAAACACUGGUUUGAUUGGCUAUAAAAGGAGAAAAGGUAAAACUGACACUGAUUUCAAUGCUUUUGUGGCACACUGAGACAGACUCACACUAGC